This 366-nucleotide ribosomal RNA is filed under the name uncultured fungus. RNAcentral's name for it is "eukaryotic LSU rRNA". It matches the Rfam family "Eukaryotic large subunit ribosomal RNA", at positions 40 to 398 of the family's 3401-position model. Lineage: Eukaryota; Fungi. The record is from RNAcentral.
AUAUCAAUAAGCGGAGGAAAAGAAACCAACAGGGAUUGCCUUAGUAACGGCGAGUGAAGCGGCAAAAGCUCAGAUUUGAAAUCUGGUGUCAAAUUGAUACCCGAGUUGUAAUCUGUAGAGGAGUUCUUCGGAGUAUGGCUUUGGUUAAAGUUCCUUGGAAAAGGGCAUCAUAGAGGGUGAGAAUCCUGUUUAUGACCUGUGUCUGUCUCCAUUAUGAAUCUCCUUCAAUGAGUCGAGUUGUUUGGGAAUGCAGCUCUAAAUGGGUGGUAAAUUCCAUCUAAAGCUAAAUAUUGGCAAGAGACCGAUAGCGCACAAGUAGAGUGAUCGAAAGAUGAAAAGAACUCUGAACAGAGAGUUAAAGAGUAC